CAAUUUAAUCAUUGCUACUCUACAAUUUGAUCUUUCCUAUUUACAAAAUUAUGUAUUUUAGGGUUAUUUCUCCAUUGAUGCAAGGCAGAGAUGACAGAUUCCCUAAGAAAGGUUCAUAUGUAUAUAGAUUCUUAGGAAAAGGUUAUAGCUCGGUAUCAGGCGGAAGCUCUUGAUUUGGAGAAAAUUAUGCUUUAAACAGUAGCAGAAGUUGCACAGGACUGGAGAAUAGAUGAUAUAAGCGGGAUCUUGGGUCGUUGUAAUUUUAAAGCCAACAUGCUUGACAGAGUCUCACUUUUGAGUGGUGAUGAGAAGGUAUGUGAAAUGUCUACCAUGCUAUUUUUGGUUUUGCCUAUUUGGCUAUAUCAGGCUAUGUGGCUGCAUGGAAAGUUAUAUUGCUAUAAACAUUUGUAACAUGGAAAAUGGACAUUCAUGUGCAUUUGUAGUCUAAAAACAUUAAAUAGAUAGUCAACUGUUUUAUUUGUAUCGUGCU
Molecule: long non-coding RNA, 490 nt
Organism: Magnolia sinica
Lineage: Eukaryota; Viridiplantae; Streptophyta; Magnoliopsida; Magnoliales; Magnoliaceae
Exons: 3
Source: RefSeq, a predicted model, not a curated record